CCCUUAGAUGUUCUGGGCCGCACGCGCGCUACACUGACUACUUCAACGUGUUGUUUCCUUGAUCGAAAGGUCUGGGUAAUCUUUGAAAGGUAGUCGUGAUGGGGAUAGAUCCUUGCAAUUUUUGAUCUUCAACGAGGAAUUCCUAGUAAACGCAAGUCAUCAGCUUGCAUUGAUUACGUCCCUGCCCUUUGUACACACCGCCCGUCGCACCUACCGAUUGAAUGGUCCGGUGAAUCUUUAGGACUGUGGCUGAGGCCUUGCCUUGUGCGGGUCUGGCCGUGGGAAUUUAGUUAAACCUUACCAUUUAGAGGAAGGUGAAGUCGUAACA
This 328-nucleotide ribosomal RNA is filed under the name uncultured eukaryote. RNAcentral describes it as "partial 18S ribosomal RNA". It matches the Rfam family "Eukaryotic small subunit ribosomal RNA", at positions 1470 to 1796 of the family's 1831-position model. The record is from RNAcentral.